GUGCUCAUUGUCAUUUUCACAUAAAGAUAUAAAAGCUCUCUAGGUUUUGUAUGUAUGUAUUUUGGACCUCAUGUCUCUUUUUUCCAACGGGCCCAACCAUGAAUGACACAUUUCAUUGUGUCAUUUCCACUAUCUUUCAUUAAAGCAUCGUUAUUUGAUCUACAUUGACCAGCAAUAUGUUGUGAUUCAGGUUGGAUUGGUCGGUCCAACAUUUUUACUGGAUCAGGAUAACGCCCGAGGACCUCUGUCUCUA
RNAcentral lists this long non-coding RNA (253 nucleotides) under Mytilus galloprovincialis (Mediterranean mussel). Lineage: Eukaryota; Metazoa; Mollusca; Bivalvia; Mytilida; Mytilidae. The record is from RNAcentral.